This 1111-nucleotide ribosomal RNA is filed under the name Quamtana bonamanzi. RNAcentral describes it as "eukaryotic LSU rRNA". It matches the Rfam family "Eukaryotic large subunit ribosomal RNA", at positions 84 to 917 of the family's 3401-position model. Lineage: Eukaryota; Metazoa; Arthropoda; Arachnida; Araneae; Pholcidae. The record is from RNAcentral.
UAGUCGAAYAGGGGAGGCAGUCCAGUCGCUCGAACACCCUCGCUCUGACGGGCGUUCGGGGAAUGUGGCGUGUGGGAGGGAGCACGCCCGAGACGCGUGCCGGCAGCAAGUCCCCCUGACAGGGGCUCUUACCCGGAGCGGGUGCGAGGCCCAUAGCUGCCGGCGCGACUCGGGAGGCGACCUCCUUGGAGUCGGGUUGCUUGGGAGUGCAGCCCUAAGCGGGUGGUAAACUCCACCUAAGACUAAAUACGGCCGCGAGACCGAUAGCAAACAAGUACCGUGAGGGAAAGUUGCAAAGAACUUUGAAGAGAGAGUUCAAGAGUACGUGAAACUGUUCAGAGGCAAACGGUUGGGCCCUCGAAGUCCAGUCGUCGGGGGAUUCAGUCGGGAGCGCUGGGGGUGCCCAAGGCAGGCGGACGCCCGAGCGGCGCGCCGUUGGCACCGUCCCACGCGAGCCCGACGCACUUCCUCCGGCGCAGCGGACGCCGCAGCCGGUUCGGUAGCRUACAAGUUCGGCCAUGAGGGAGGAGACCGGUGGGUGGCUCGAGCGCGGCCUCUGCGCCGUUUCGUUCGAGACUCUAGCCACUCCUCCCGGGCGCGACACCGGACCGAGGAAGAGGUUCUAAAAUUUUUAGGACCGGCCGUGCCAUCGCCACAGCGAGCGGAUCGCGAUGGGUCUGGAGCCUCCCGUGCGGGGCCGUUACACCGAGGCGGUGGCGGCAUCCCACAGGCUCUCCGGAGGACCCCGCGCACCGCGGCGGACAGGCAACAGGGCUUGCGGCGAGUAGGUCGGUCACCCACCCGACCCGUCUUGAAACACGGACCAAGGAGUCUAACAUGUGCGCGAGUCGUCGGGUCUUGAACAGGCCCGUAGGCGCAAUGAAAGUGAAGGCGAAUUCCCUUUCGCCGAUGUUGGGAUCCGCGGGAUGCAGAUCCCGCGGCGCACCAACGGCCCGUCCCGACCCGCUUCGUCGGGUGGGGCGGAGCCGGAGCGCACACGUUGGGACCCGAAAGAUGGUGAACUAUGCCCGGGCAGGACGAAGCCAGAGGAAACUCUGAUGGAGGUCCGCAGCGGUUACUGACGUGCAAAUCGUAUCGUCGGACCUGGGUA